RNAcentral lists this ribosomal RNA (253 nucleotides) under uncultured bacterium. RNAcentral's name for it is "partial 16S ribosomal RNA". It matches the Rfam family "Bacterial small subunit ribosomal RNA", at positions 524 to 776 of the family's 1533-position model. The record is from RNAcentral.
UACGUAGGUGGCAAGCGUUGUCCGGAAUUACUGGGCGUAAAGGGCGUGUAGGCGGCCUUUUAAGUCAGACGUGAAACCCCUGGGCUUAACCCAGGAACUGCGUUUGAAACUGGAGGGCUUGAGGACCGGAGAGGGUAGUGGAAUUCCCAGUGUAGCGGUGAAAUGCGUAGAUAUUGGGAGGAACACCAGUGGCGAAGGCGACUGCCUGGACGGCCCCUGACGCUGAGGCGCGAAAGCUAGGGGAGCAAACGGG